AAUAGAUACCCGGGUAGUCCACGCCGUAAACGAUGAGUGCUAAGUGUUAGGGGGUUUCCGCCCCUUAGUGCUGCAGCUAACGCAUUAAGCACUCCGCCUGGGGAGUACGGUCGCAAGACUGAAACUCAAAGGAAUUGACGGGGGCCCGCACAAGCGGUGGAGCAUGUGGUUUAAUUCGAAGCAACGCGAAGAACCUUACCAGGUCUUGACAUCCCAUUGACCGCUAUGGAGACAUAGCUUUCCCUUCGGGGACAGUGGUGACAGGUGGUGCAUGGUUGUCGUCAGCUCGUGUCGUGAGAUGUUGGGUUAAGUCCCGCAACGAGCGCAACCCUUGUUCUUAGUUGCCAUCAUUUAGUUGGGCACUCUAAGGAGACUGCCGGUGACAAACCGGAGGAAGGUGGGGAUGACGUCAAAUCAUCAUGCCCCUUAUGACCUGGGCUACACACGUGCUACAAUGGACGGUACAAACGGUUGCCAACCCGCGAGGGGGAGCUAAUCCGAUAAAACCGUUCUCAGUUCGGAUUGUGGCUGCAACUCGCCUAC
This 543-nucleotide ribosomal RNA is filed under the name uncultured bacterium. RNAcentral's name for it is "bacterial SSU rRNA". It matches the Rfam family "Bacterial small subunit ribosomal RNA", at positions 777 to 1319 of the family's 1533-position model. The record is from RNAcentral.